This 468-nucleotide ribosomal RNA is filed under the name uncultured bacterium. Its description in RNAcentral is "partial 16S ribosomal RNA". It matches the Rfam family "Bacterial small subunit ribosomal RNA", at positions 28 to 507 of the family's 1533-position model. The record is from RNAcentral.
GACGAACGCUGGCGGCGUGCUUAACACAUGCAAGUCGAACGGAAAGGCCCUGCUUUUGUGGGGUGCUCGAGUGGCGAACGGGUGAGUAACACGUGAGUAACCUGCCCUUGACUUUGGGAUAACUUCAGGAAACUGGGGCUAAUACCGGAUAGGAGCUCCUGCUGCAUGGUGGGGGUUGGAAAGUUUCGGCGGUUGGGGAUGGACUCGCGGCUUCUCAGCAUGUUGGUGGGGUAGUGGCUUACCAAGGCUUUGACGGGUAGCCGGCCUGAGAGGGUGACCGGGCACAUUGGGACUGGGAUACGGGCCAGACUCAUACGGGAGGCAGCAGUGGGGAAUAUUGCACAAUGGGCGGAAGCCUGAUGCAGCAACGCCGCGUGCGGGAUGACGGCCUUCGGGUUGUAAACCGCUUUCGCCUGUGACGAAGCGUGAGUGACGGUAAUGGGUAAAGAAGCACCGGCUAACUACGUG